GCUGGGCGCGGUGGCGCGUGCCUGUAAUCCCAGCUACUUGGGAGGCUGAGGCCGGCGGAUCGCUUGAGCUCAGGAGUUCUGGGCUGCAGUGCGCUAUGCCGAUCGGGUGUCCGCACUAAGUUCGGCAUCAAUAUGGUGAUCCCUGGGAAGCUGGGGGUCACCAGGUUGCCUAAGGAGGGGUGAACCGGCCCAGGUCGGAAACGGAGCAGGUCAAAACUCCCGUGCCGAUCAGUAGUGGGAUCGCGCCUGUGAAUAGUCACUGCAGCGUAGCCUGGGCAAGACAGUGAGACACGGUCUCUU
Molecule: unclassified non-coding RNA, 300 nt
Organism: Pelusios castaneus (West African mud turtle)
Lineage: Eukaryota; Metazoa; Chordata; Testudines; Pelomedusidae
Rfam family: Metazoan signal recognition particle RNA
About the family: The signal recognition particle (SRP) is a universally conserved ribonucleoprotein. It is involved in the co-translational targeting of proteins to membranes.
Source: Ensembl